CUGCCAGCCGCCGUCGAGGGGGGCAUGGCUUGAACACUGGGAUAGUUACAGUCAUAGUUGGCAGUGGAGGCUGCACCACUGUAGUUGGUAUAGUUUGCAUAAGUGCCGUAAGCGUAAGGGCUGAGGUGCAUGUUAUACGGUGAGUGAUAAGAUGAAGACUCUCCCAGACACGGCUUCCCGUCUCGAACGAGAACUGGUACUGCGAUUCUUCUGGGAGGCGGGAGGCCAACCAUCUCCAGCGAUUUAUCCUGGCGUUGCCUUUUACAUUUGUAUCUGCGAUUUUGGAACCAGAUUUUGACCUGGGUGGAGCCAUCACUGGAUUAGGUUGCAGAUUGGUAAUUAACUCUAGCAAUCAACAAUCCUUGGUACGUUCUUUAAUUGACACAAAACAAAGGGAGGUCAUCAGUUCCUCUGGGCCCAGGCUCAAACCAAUCCGAGAAUCUCCAUGAAGCCGUUUUAUGGAAGCCUAAAUCUGAAACUUCGGAAAUGAUCGGGACUGGACGAGUUUACUUGAACCAACACCUUUUACGUUCCUGGACGCUGAUGCUAACGACAGGAGCAGCCUCGAGCCGCUUCCCCGGAUGUAUCUACCUUUUACAAAACAUCAAGUCUUUUGAGGGAUUUGCUACAUCUCUGAGGAUCAAGAGGACAAUAAUGGCUGAAGAAAUAGCGAGUGAAGUCCCCAGAGCUGAGCCACCAACUAUUCCAACUUCGAAUUUUCUUGUAAACCUAUGCAGAAUACUCUUUGUUAGAACAUUCGUGAGUUGGAACACUUUGCACAUAAUUGUCUCCAGUCAUUAAAAACAGAACAAGUCUCGUUUUAUGGGACGAAUCCGUGACUAUUAAUUGUCCUAAAGUAACUCCAGACAAUUUUAAAAAAUUAUAUCAGUUUAUGUUUGUCUUAGUGAACUAUACUUGGUUGACAGAAACGGGGAGAUUAUUCGCAUUAUCAGAAACUGCUCGCUCCAGAUGCUUUCUUACUGAGAACGUAUCACGGUAAACGGCAAAGGGCCAGUACCGUGAAAGGAAUUGAAGCAAAAUUACAUUUAUAGUUAAAGGAUUCUAAAUUGAUAUCCGUUGCGUAUAUGAAACUCUAUUUUCAAGCACUUUAUUUUAAAUAAUUGAUUUUACCGAUUUAUGGAACAGCCAAGUAAAAAAAAGGACGGUAGAAUAUUUAAAAUAAUAACUCCGGAUGUUGCAGCAAUUAAACAUGACUGGAUUGUUAAAAGAUGAAAUAUUAACGAAUCGAAGUUGGAUUGGGAUGCAAGGCAAUUAUACUAAUACAGCCCGAACGCCUUUACUAGCUUCCACUUGUAAUGAUUGAAAACAUGUGCCGGACUGGCACUAAAUAGUGAAGGGGUUAAAAUCUUCGCAUAGUGAUUUAAAUCGAUUAAGAAUAACUGUGCCCGAAAGUGUAUAAGCUUGAAGUAAACUCAUUUUCAGGAUCUGUUUUCCUAUAAAUAAAACUCGUUACAGAAAAAAAAAUUCUUUCUGCGCCAAUAUUUUAAAUUACAGCAUGGCGAUGAAACAACACGCGAGUGGUUUUCAGGACAAAUUUAAUUACAGUUUCGGAAUUAAUCUCGGAAUUGCACUGACGCACAUUGCAGAGACGGUUGGUAUGAGUCUGCACCUGACUGACGGGUUACACUUGUCCAAAGCAUCAAGAAGCUGUAACCUUCAAAGCCCAAGGAAAGCUUUUGAGCGUUCGGUUCUCUGGAGUUGUUUUGUAGACGGUGGACGAUACGUAAGCUUUUCUUAACUAUUUGGAGCUUGAAAUUUAUAGGUCUUUUACACCAUUUGCUGCAAUGGAAAAGAGAUGACGAACGUUUAGUGAUGAUGCUAACAGACGCAAAAUAAAAUCCUUACCUUUCACGAGAUAUCUGGAGUCAAUCAGCUUACUAGCUUCAUUGUUUAUGCAGUUCCAUUACACUUAACAGAGUCCGACCUAGUUGUGUCCAUAUACCCGAUCAGGAUGUUGGGUCAAACGCGUAGGAAGAUUAGUAUUGAAGAAAGAUGAAUAUACUCCCAGCAGAUGUCUGAAUACAGUUAGAUUUGACUGAUUAGUAGAUUAAUGUCGGGUUAUCACAUCGGUGCAUGCGCGUGGGUCGGAAAAAAAUUAAAAUGUAUGACUUUUUUCCCCUAUCAUUGUGAUUCUAUGUUUAUGAAUCAGAUAUAACAAUAUAAUACUCAAACAUUAGAUAAAAAUCACAAUGUGACUUUCGUAAUUCAGGUAAAUAAAUCACUAUGAAAGAGUCAGAAAUGUAACAACGGAACACAAUGCUUUGUGAUUGAUCUACUAACAAUUGGCUUUAUCCAGAUCUGUGACAAUUAGUGCAUGUAAUAAUGAUCAUUUGUGCAAACUUUAGAAAAAAAUCUGAACUUUCUGCUUCUUUCCUUGUAUGACUCAUUAUUUUGGUGGAUAUCUUGUUGGAAGUAUGUGGGUAUAUAACCAUAUGCUUGUGUGUAUGCUGUCAAAUACAAAUCCGAGCGAUUGCUGUUACAGUGAGCUUUAUUUAUACUUGUUACAGACAUAUGUAGAAUUUUCUCUACGUGAUCGCUUUCACCAAGUAACUUGCUUUGAGAAGGUUUUUAUUUAUGUCUGGGUUUCUGUCAUCAUAACUUUAUGAUUUUUUCCCCCUUUAACUUGAUGAUAAUGUUGUGUUCAUUAUUGUUGUAGUCAUUAUGGAAUCCCGGGAGUAGAAAUCAAACUGUGAGAUGGAAUUGCAUAAAAUGGUGUUUCUUUCACUUGCUGCAAAUAGCUAAGGCUAUUUCUUCAAAAAUAGAGCUUACGUUGGUUAGUAAAGCUUGAAAAUGAUUUAUUGGCAUGAUGCAACUGUGGAAAUAUAGAAAUGCAGCCAUGUGUUGUGUGAUUUCAUGAACAAAGCUAAUCUAAACGUAUUCUACAACAGAUACUCACUUUGGAUACCAACCUCUCCUGCUUAUUCGAAAUUGGUUACCAACCCAUCUUCGAAUGGAAAUUGUUAUGGUUUCUUAUUUACUCUUGUCAAAUGCCUCUGUUUCUAAACAGUAAUAGUUCUCCCUGAAAGCUU
Rhincodon typus (whale shark) is the source of this 3050-nucleotide long non-coding RNA. RefSeq lists it as uncharacterized. NCBI's taxonomy places the organism in Eukaryota, Metazoa, Chordata, Chondrichthyes, Orectolobiformes, Rhincodontidae. The transcript has 4 exons. The record is from RefSeq and is a predicted model, not a curated record.